CCAGACUCCUACGGGAGGCAGCAGUGGGGAAUAUUGCACAAUGGGGGAAACCCUGAUGCAGCAACGCCGCGUGAGUGAGGAAGUAUUUCGGUAUGUAAAGCUCUAUCAGCAGGGAAUAGACAAGACGGUACCUGACAAAGAAGCACCGGCUAACUACGUGCCAGCAGCCGCGGUAAUACGUAGGGGGCAAGCGUUAUCCGGAAUUACUGGGUGUAAAGGGAGCGUAGACGGAAAUGCAAGUCAGAAGUGAAAGCCCAAGGCUCAACCAUGGGACUGCUUUUGAAACUGUCAAACUAGAGUACGGGAGAGGUAAGAGGAAUUCCUAGUGUAGCGGUGAAAUGCGUAGAUAUUAGGAGGAACACCAGUGGCGAAGGCGGCUUACUGGCCCGAAACUGACGUUGAGGCUCGAAAGCGUGGGGAGCAAACAGGAUUAGAUACCCUAGUA
RNAcentral lists this ribosomal RNA (445 nucleotides) under uncultured bacterium. Its description in RNAcentral is "bacterial SSU rRNA". It matches the Rfam family "Bacterial small subunit ribosomal RNA", at positions 331 to 792 of the family's 1533-position model. The record is from RNAcentral.